This 425-nucleotide unclassified non-coding RNA is filed under the name soil metagenome. RNAcentral describes it as "partial contains 5.8S ribosomal RNA, internal transcribed spacer 2, and large subunit ribosomal RNA". The stretch from base 1 to 120 matches the Rfam family "5.8S ribosomal RNA", at positions 35 to 154 of the family's 154-position model. The record is from RNAcentral.
GAUGAAGAACGUAGCGAAAUGCGAUAAGUAGUGUGAAUUGCAGAAUUCCGUGAAUCAUCGAAUCUUUGAACGCACAUUGCGCCUUCUGGUAUUCCGGAAGGCAUGCCUGUUCGAGAGUCAUUAACAACCGUUUCGAUCCCUUUCUUUCAGAAAUUACAAAGAGGAAAAGGGUUUGGUUAUGGUGGAGGAGGGAAAGGGAGCGUUUAGCCUGUAAAAAAAGAGGCGGUGUUCCGCCUCCCCCCCAAAAUUGUACAGGCGGUCGUGUGCGCCCACGCAUCGAGGUGUUGUAAAAGCUGCCACGGCACUUUUCACCUGUGCAGUGCGAGAUUGGCCAGCCGGUUUAAAAACCCCUCCAAACAAUCAAAGGUUGACCUCGGAUCAGGUAGGGAUACCCGCUGAACUUAAGCAUAUCAAUAAGCGGAGGA